Molecule: long non-coding RNA, 1127 nt
Filed under: Mus pahari (shrew mouse)
Lineage: Eukaryota; Metazoa; Chordata; Mammalia; Rodentia; Muridae
Description: predicted gene, 26971 (MGP_PahariEiJ_G0032951.1)
Source: RNAcentral
GCGACCGCCCUCAGCCUCAGUCUCCUAAUCCUUGAAAGGUCCACGGUGGCUGCAGACGAAAUAUGAAUGAUGUAACCUCCCAGGAUUGCCAAGGUGGGGUCCUCCUUGCACCAGCCGGCCUUGGAGACAAUUAACCAGCACCUUUCCCUCCUUCUUGCCCUCCCGUCCGCCCCUAGAGCAGCCCAUCCAAGCAGGGGUGGUGGCUGCCCGUAGUUUUCGCAGCUGCUUCUCAGUGUCUUCAGCCAGGAUUGAGCAGACCCGGCGACACCAGGCUCUCCACGGAGUCCUUCAGGCCAGAUGCCUUGAUUUUCCUUCCCAAGGGGCCUGAUGUCAUCUUGGGAACAGCCAGGAAAGGGCAGGAGUCAGGGAGGAGUUAUUUCCACUGCUGUCCCGCCCUCGCCUGCUUCCCCCGCCCCCCGCCCCGCCCUGCCCCGCCCCGCCCCUGACAUGGCUCUGGAACCUCCCACAGCCUCUCCUCCCACUCGCUCCCCCCACCCCCCACCCCCCCAUCCCCAGGCCCUGCCCUGGGCCAGCACAGUCUGUGUGAAUGUCUAAUCUCCAAUUUUAUUCUGCUGGGCUACAGCCCAUUUGCAUAAUCCACACAGGCACCCUGGUUUUAAUUGCCCACAACUCUGCAGAAAGAUCAUGUGGUUAAGUGGUAAAUCAUAAUUAGAUAAAUAAUUGGUUUGGCCACAGCAAGCUGCUUCUGUUUCACCUGCCAUCUGCCGGACCCGGUUUCUCUUCUGGCCGGAACAAUGCGCUUCUGAUGACAGAGCACAGUGCUGCUCCCUUGUGGGGGUGGAGGGGGCUGAGCGGAGGGGCUUGGAAGCCGAGCCUGGAAAAGUGCCCGAUUGCUGGGGUCUCUUUCCCCAAGCCAGGCAAGCCCCACACUUGCCAUUCAUCACCCUGUGUGGGUAAUGGGGACAGAGGUGGCGGGGGUGGAGUGGGGAGAGUUUUGGAUCCUCUGCAGAAAGGGAGGCUUGGGUCUGAGCAGAGGGCCCCCCCCCCCCCCGGACUGGCUUUCUUGGACCUGGGAUCACCUGUGUAGGGCCGACCUGGGGCCUUAUUCCUUGGGGCUCCAAGGGAGUUGGUGGGCAGAGCUGGAACAGGCAGGUCUCCUCCCUGCC